RNAcentral lists this ribosomal RNA (500 nucleotides) under uncultured bacterium. RNAcentral describes it as "bacterial SSU rRNA". It matches the Rfam family "Bacterial small subunit ribosomal RNA", at positions 28 to 513 of the family's 1533-position model. The record is from RNAcentral.
GAUGAACGCUAGCUACAGGCUUAACACAUGCAAGUCGAGGGGAAACGAUAGAGAAAGCUUGCUUUUUCUUUAGGCGUCGACCGGCGCACGGGUGAGUAACGCGUAUCCAACCUGCCCAUCACUUGGGGAUAACCUUGCGAAAGUAAGACUAAUACCCAAUGAUAUCUCUAGAAGACAUCUGAAAGAGAUUAAAGAUUUAUCGGUGAUGGAUGGGGAUGCGUCUGAUUAGCUUGUUGGCGGGGUAACGGCCCACCAAGGCGACGAUCAGUAGGGGUUCUGAGAGGAAGGUCCCCCACAUUGGAACUGAGACACGGUCCAAACUCCUACGGGAGGCAGCAGUGAGGAAUAUUGGUCAAUGGACGAGAGUCUGAACCAGCCAAGUAGCGUGCAGGAUGACGGCCCUAUGGGUUGUAAACUGCUUUUAUAAGGGAAUAAAGUGAGUCUCGUGAGGCUUUUUGCAUGUACCUUAUGAAUAAGGACCGGCUAAUUCCGUGCCAGCA